RNAcentral lists this ribosomal RNA (379 nucleotides) under uncultured bacterium. Its description in RNAcentral is "bacterial SSU rRNA". It matches the Rfam family "Bacterial small subunit ribosomal RNA", at positions 523 to 898 of the family's 1533-position model. The record is from RNAcentral.
AAACGUAGGACGCAAGCGUUAUCCGGAAUUACUGGGCGUAAAGGGCGUGCAGGCGGUUCUUUAAGUUAGGCGUGAAAGCUCCGGGCUAAACCUGGAGAGGUCGUCUGAUACUGGGGAACUAGAGUGUGGUAGAGGGGUGUAGAAUUCCGGGUGUAGUGGUGAAAUGCGUAGAUAUCCGGAGGAAUACCAGUGGCGAAGGCGGCACCCUGGGCCAUAACUGACGCUAAGACGCGAAAGCAUGGGUAGCGAACGGGAUUAGAAACCCCGGUAGUCCAUGCCGUAAACGAUGUGCACUCGGUGUUCUGACAGGGAAGCCUGUUGGAGUGCCCCAGCAAACGCGGUAAGUGCACCGCCUGGGGAGUACGGUCGCAAGGCUAAA